Molecule: long non-coding RNA, 357 nt
Organism: Chiloscyllium plagiosum (whitespotted bambooshark)
Lineage: Eukaryota; Metazoa; Chordata; Chondrichthyes; Orectolobiformes; Hemiscylliidae
Source: RefSeq, a predicted model, not a curated record
AAACUAAACAACGAACGCUAUGUUGUGAAGAGAAGCAUUUUCAUCUGAGAAGAAUAAAAAUGAAGUUUUUUUGUGUUAGCAACCAGAUAGGAGGCUGGAAGCCAACGUGAAAGGCUACUAGUGCAGGAAAUCACUUUAGUCAAAAACAGCCAGCACGGACAGGAUAAUUUGGAGACAUCAGUGUUGAGUCUGAAACUUCCGGGAAGGAGGAAAUUAUUUUUAGAAAAGUUUCUGAAGCUUUUUUGAAAUUCAGAGAAAGAGUGAAUUGGAGCCAAGGUUGUAAUACCAGGAUAACAAAUGAACAAGAGGAAUGGUGGAUACCAGUCACAAAAACAGUAUCAACUGUUUCGAGAAAGU